UUUCUUUCGGGUUUGAUCCCAGCCCUGAAUAAUGCUAGCGGAUCAUCUAAUACAUGCGAGUUAACUGAUGUUGUUCUUCCGUAGCGGCUGGGUGAGUUAGUAUGCACCCUAAUCGAGUUUUACAGAUGGGUGCGCAUUGGAUUAGGUGAACGAGAGUCUUGUGCCUAAGAUCUCUAGUCGAUUUGGUAGAAUGAUCGUCCACAUUAGAACUGAAAUAGGGUCUAACCUCUCUGAGGCUGCAGUAAAGAGUUUUGGACAAUGGGCUUUCGCUUGAUCCAGUGAUUCCGCUUGAGUGAUGAAGGUUUCAACUGUAAAGCUUUUGGUUUAGCGUCUAUGUUGUUAGCGCUAAUUUUAGUUCGGGCUAAUUUCGUGCCAGCAGCCGCGGUAAGACGGAACGGGCAAGCAUUAUUCUUGCUUUUGGCGUAAAGGGUUGAAUUCAUUUCGGUUGAUCUCGGGUCUAAUAGCGUAGUCACAACGUUUAUCCGUAUGUGUUUUUACCGUUUUGAGUAGCUUAUUCGGUGAUCGAAUUGAGGGUUGAGGGAUGAAAUCCAUUUAUGUCCUUAGGAAGAUCUCAAGCGAAAGCGUUUAUCUGGAAGUUACUGGCUUUGACCAACGAAAGCAUUGGUAUCAAUCGGGAUUAGAUACCCCGUUAGUCAAUGCCGUCAACGAUGAUACUUUUCAGGUGAUAACCAAAAAUCCAAACGGAUCAAGUAUUCCGCCUGAUUAGUAUAACCGCAAGGUCGAAAUUCAAAGGAAUUGAUGGGAAACCAUACUCGUGGUGGGCUAUGUAAUUUAAUUCGACGAUACGCGAAAACCUUACUGCAGAUCGACUAUUCAGGUGCUGCACGGCUGAUGUCAGCUCGUGCUUCGAAGCGUUUGCGUUUAGUCCCUUAACGAGCGCAGCGCUUCAUUCGUGUUCUGCACGGUUUUUUGCUGAGUUAGUCACACGUCAAGUCCUCGUGGCCUUAAUGCUGUAGGCUAUCUAUGUGGUACACUGUCGAUUUCACAGGGUCGCGUAAGCAAAUCCCUAAAGAUUGGCUCCGUUCUUGUUGCUCUCUGCGAUUCGAGAGCAUGAAGCAGGAAUCACUCAGUAAUCGCGUUUUAGUUCAGCGCGGUGAAUUUCGUUCUUGGUUUUUAUACAUCCCGCCUGUCAAGCUGGGAGAUCUAUGUUGUGUUUGGGCAUUCGUUCUUUCGUGCUAUCCAAUAUAUUUUUGUGGUUUAACUUGGUGGCUCUAUUUGUUUGAAUCGUUUCCGGCAAAGAGAUCUCGGUUAAGUCAUAACAAGGUUAUCUCAAAGGAAUUUGAGGUAGGAUCAAAAUGAUC
RNAcentral lists this ribosomal RNA (1322 nucleotides) under Haptophyceae sp. NIES-3900. Its description in RNAcentral is "small subunit ribosomal RNA". It matches the Rfam family "Bacterial small subunit ribosomal RNA". Lineage: Eukaryota; Haptophyta. The record is from RNAcentral.